RNAcentral lists this ribosomal RNA (593 nucleotides) under uncultured fungus. RNAcentral's name for it is "eukaryotic LSU rRNA". The stretch from base 217 to 371 matches the Rfam family "5.8S ribosomal RNA". The record is from RNAcentral. Lineage: Eukaryota; Fungi.
GGAAGGAUCAUUACUGAAUUGUCAAACGGGCUGUUGCUGGUCCUCGAAUGGGGACAUGUGCACGCUCUGUUUACACAUCCACUCACACCUGUGCACCCUCUGUAGUUUUACGGUCUGGGGGACCCUGUCUUCCUUCCGUAGUUCUAUGUCUUUCAACACACACACACUGUAAUAAAGUCUUAUGGAAUGUAUGCCGCGUCUAACGCAACACAAUACAACUUUCAGCAACGGAUCUCUUGGCUCUCGCAUCGAUGAAGAACGCAGCGAAAUGCGAUAAGUAAUGUGAAUUGCAGAAUUCAGUGAAUCAUCGAAUCUUUGAACGCACCUUGCGCCCCUUGGAUAUUCCGAGGGGCAUGCCUGUUUGAGUAUCAUGAACACCUCAACUCUCAUGGUUUGCCGUGACGAGCUUGGACCUUGGGGGUUUUGCUGGCCUGUGGUCGGCUCCUCUCAAAUGAAUCAGCCUCCCAGUGUUUGGUGGCAUCACGAGUGUGAUAACUAUCUACGCUCGCGGUUGCCCACCAGGUAACCUUUGGUGACAAAGGUUCGCUGGAGCUCACAGAUGUCUCUCCUUAGCGAGGACAGCUUUUUAACGU